GGCUGGAGCUCAGUGGUAGAGCACUUGCCUAGCAGGUAAGACACUGGGUUCCAUCCCCAGCACAACCA
This 68-nucleotide transfer RNA is filed under the name Neotoma lepida (desert woodrat). It matches the Rfam family "tRNA". From Rfam's summary of the family: Transfer RNA (tRNA) molecules are approximately 80 nucleotides in length. Their secondary structure includes four short double-helical elements and three loops (D, anti-codon, and T loops). Further hydrogen bonds mediate the characteristic L-shaped molecular structure. tRNAs have two regions of fundamental functional importance: the anti-codon, which is responsible for specific mRNA codon recognition, and the 3' end, to which the tRNAs corresponding amino acid is attached (by aminoacyl-tRNA synthetases). tRNAs cope with the degeneracy of the genetic code in two manners: having more than one tRNA (with a specific anti-codon) for a particular amino acid; and 'wobble' base-pairing, i.e. permitting non-standard base-pairing at the 3rd anti-codon position. The record is from Rfam by way of RNAcentral. Lineage: Eukaryota; Metazoa; Chordata; Mammalia; Rodentia; Cricetidae.